Molecule: ribosomal RNA, 253 nt
Filed under: uncultured bacterium
Lineage: Bacteria
Description: partial 16S ribosomal RNA
Rfam family: Archaeal small subunit ribosomal RNA
Source: RNAcentral
UACCAGCUCCUCGAGUGGUCGGGACGAUUAUUGGGCCUAAAGCACCCGUAGCCGGUUCCGUAAGUCCUCUGUUAAAUCCAGCUGCUCAACGGCUGGCCUGCAGAGGAUACUGCGGGACUAGGAGGCGGGAGAGGCGGACGGUACUCCGCGUGUAGGGGUAAAAUCCUUUGAUCCGCGGAAGACCACCAGUGGCGAAGGCGGUCUGCCAGAACGCGCUCGACGGUGAGGGGUGAAAGCUGGGGGAGCGAACCGG